Molecule: small nucleolar RNA, 130 nt
Organism: Mastomys coucha (southern multimammate mouse)
Lineage: Eukaryota; Metazoa; Chordata; Mammalia; Rodentia; Muridae
Product: small nucleolar RNA SNORA17
Exons: 1
Source: RefSeq, a predicted model, not a curated record
CCUGCCCUAGAAGCAUUGCAAGUGUGGCUGCUGUGUCACAUGUGCAUCAGUGGGUGGUAGAGAGGGAGAGAUGAUGUCUGCGCUCAGUAUUCUGACUUGUGAACACCCGAAUGGCUAGUAGCCUGACAUU